UUGGUUAAGUUAGAAAGGGCGCACGGUGGAUGCCUUGGCACUAGGAGCCGAAGAAGGACGGGACUAACACCGAUAUGCUUUGGGGAGCUGUACGUAAGCGUUGAUCCAGAGAUUUCCGAAUGGGGGAACCCACUAUCUUUAGUCGGAUAGUAUCCUUACGUGAAUACAUAGCGUAAGGAAGGCAGACCCAGGGAACUGAAACAUCUAAGUACCUGGAGGAAGAGAAAGAAAAAUCGAUUUCCUGAGUAGCGGCGAGCGAAACGGAAAGAGCCCAAACCAAGAAGCUUGCUUCUUGGGGUUGUAGGACACUCUAUACGGAGUUACAAAAGAAAGUUAUAAAUGAAGCGGUCUGGAAAGGCCCGCCAAAGACGGUAACAGCCCGGUAGUUGAAAUGGCUUUCCCUCCAGAGUGGAUCCUGAGUACGGCGGAACACGUGAAAUUCCGUCGGAAUCCGGGAGGACCAUCUCCCAAGGCUAAAUACUCCCUAGUGACCGAUAGUGAACCAGUACCGUGAGGGAAAGGUGAAAAGCACCCCGGAAGGGGAGUGAAACAGUUCCUGAAACCGUGUGCCUACAAGUAGUUAGAGCCCGUUAAUGGGUGAUAGCGUGCCUUUUGUAGAAUGAACCGGCGAGUUACGAUUUGUUGCAAGGUUAAGCGGAAAAAGCGGAGCCGUAGCGAAAGCGAGUCUGAAUAGGGCGCAUAAGUAACAGGUCGUAGACCCGAAACCAGGUGAUCUACCCAUGUCCAGGAUGAAGGUAAGGUAAUACUUACUGGAGGUCCGAACCCACGCACGUUGAAAAGUGCGGGGAUGAGGUGUGGGUAGCGGAGAAAUUCCAAUCGAACUUGGAGAUAGCUGGUUCUCUCCGAAAUAGCUUUAGGGCUAGCCUCGAGGUAAAGAGUCAUGGAGGUAGAGCACUGUUUGGACUAGGGGCCCUUCUCGGGUUACCGAAUUCAGAUAAACUCCGAAUGCCAUGUACUUAUACUCGGGAGUCAGACUGCGAGUGAUAAGAUCCGUAGUCGAAAGGGAAACAGCCCAGACCACCAGUUAAGGUCCCCAAAUAUAUG
This 1065-nucleotide ribosomal RNA is filed under the name Listeria monocytogenes. RNAcentral describes it as "partial 23S ribosomal RNA". It matches the Rfam family "Bacterial large subunit ribosomal RNA", at positions 1 to 1058 of the family's 2925-position model. The record is from RNAcentral. Lineage: Bacteria; Bacillati; Bacillota; Bacilli; Caryophanales; Listeriaceae.